GACGAACGCUGGCGGCGUGCUUAACACAUGCAAGUCGAACGGAAAGGCCCUUCGGGGUACUCGAGUGGCGAACGGGUGAGUAACACGUGGGUGAUCUGCCCUGCACUUUGGGAUAAGCCUGGGAAACUGGGUCUAAUACCGAAUAGGACCACGCGCUUCAUGGUGUGUGGUGGAAAGCUUUUGCGGUGUGGGAUGGGCCCGCGGCCUAUCAGCUUGUUGGUGGGGUAAUGGCCUACCAAGGCGACGACGGGUAGCCGGCCUGAGAGGGUGACCGGCCACACUGGGACUGGGAUACGGCCCAGACUCCUACGGGAGGCAGCAGUGGGGAAUAUUGCACAAUGGGCGCAAGCCUGAUGCAGCGACGCCGCGUGAGGGAUGACGGCCUUCGGGUUGUAAACCUCUUUCACCAGGGACGAAGCGUAAGUGACGGUACCUGGAGAAGAAGCACCGGCCAACUACGUG
RNAcentral lists this ribosomal RNA (462 nucleotides) under uncultured bacterium. RNAcentral's name for it is "partial 16S ribosomal RNA". It matches the Rfam family "Bacterial small subunit ribosomal RNA", at positions 28 to 507 of the family's 1533-position model. The record is from RNAcentral.